UACAGAGGUCUCAAGCGUUGUUCGGAUUCAUUGGGCGUAAAGGGUGCGUAGGUGGCGAGGUUAGUCAGGUGUGAAAUCUCGGGGCUCAACCCCGAAACUGCAUUCGAUACUGCCGUGCUUGAGGACUGGAGAGGAGACUGGAAUUUACGGUGUAGCGGUGAAAUGCGUAGAUAUCGUAAGGAAGACCAGUGGCGAAGGCGGGUCUCUGGACAGUUCCUGACACUGAGGCGCGAAGGCCAGGGGAGCAAACGGG
Molecule: ribosomal RNA, 253 nt
Filed under: uncultured bacterium
Lineage: Bacteria
Description: partial 16S ribosomal RNA
Rfam family: Bacterial small subunit ribosomal RNA
Source: RNAcentral